GGCUUCAUUUAUCCAACAGCAGAUACUGAGAGCCCUCUCUGGAACUAAUUCCAGUUUAUCUGAGCUCAGACACCUGGGAAGGGAACAGUGCUGGGACAAGAACCUUCUAAGGAACAAAUUCUGAGAACAGGAGAGAAACCCUUGAGAUCAGCGCUGAGAGAAAGAAGAGAGGUGGUGAAGGAGCCAGUGUGGGAUGUUGGACAGAUCUGAGCCAAGGAGCUGAGGGACAACAGGAAUGGCAGAGCUUCACCCUCCCAGCAGYGAUGAGAGAGACUGACAGUGCUACGAGUCCCUUCUGGCUCCUUCUGCACGGCGGCCGCUGCCUCUGCAUAUUCAUUGGAUGGUAAUGCAGGAUGUCGGCAGCAGCGGUAGAGUUUGGCUCGGUCCCACUGCGUUUUCCUCCUGCCGGUUGCAACUCYGCAUCGCCAUGACAACGCUGUGACACUUCCAGCAGAGGUUGCCUGCGGAC
This 469-nucleotide long non-coding RNA is filed under the name Zosterops lateralis melanops. RNAcentral describes it as "lncRNA (ENSZLMG00000008142.1)". The record is from RNAcentral. Lineage: Eukaryota; Metazoa; Chordata; Aves; Passeriformes; Zosteropidae.